RNAcentral lists this ribosomal RNA (460 nucleotides) under uncultured bacterium. RNAcentral describes it as "partial 16S ribosomal RNA". It matches the Rfam family "Bacterial small subunit ribosomal RNA", at positions 338 to 795 of the family's 1533-position model. The record is from RNAcentral.
CCUACGGGAGGCAGCAGUGAGGAAUAUUGGUCAAUGGCCGUAAGGCUGAACCAGCCAAGUAGCGUGAGGGAAGACUGCCCUAUGGGUUGUAAACUUCUUUUAUGCGGGGAUAAAGGUGGCCACGUGUGGAUGUUUGCAGGUACCGCAUGAAUAAGGACCGGCUAAUUCCGUGCCAGCAGCCGCGGUAAUACGGAAGGUCCGGGCGUUAUCCGGAUUUAGUGGGUUUAAAGGGAGCGUAGGCCGGUCUUUAAGCGUGCCGUGAAAUUUUGUGGCUCAACCAUGGGAGUGCGGCGCGAACUGGAGACCUUGAGUGCGCGGAAGGCAGGCGGAAUUCGUGGUGUAGCGGUGAAAUGCUUAGAUAUCACGAAGAACCCCGAUUGCGAAGGCAGCCUGUCGCAGCGUUACUGACGCUGAAGCUCGAAAGCGCGGGUAUCGAACAGGAUUAGAUACCCUGGUAGUC